UAGGGAAUCUUCGGCAAUGGACGACAGUCUGACCGAGCAACGCCGCGUGAGUGAAGAAGGUUUUCGGAUCGUAAAACUCUGUUGUUAGAGAAGAAUAAGGACGUUAGUAACUGAACGUCCCCUGACGGUAUCUAACCAGAAAGCCACGGCUAACUACGUGCCAGCAGCCGCGGUAAUACGUAGGUGGGAAGCGUUGUUCGGAUUUAUUGGGCGUAAAGCGAGCGCAGGCGGUUUCUUAAGUCUGAUGUAAAAGCCCCCGGCUCAACCGGGGAGGGUCAUUGGAAACUGGGAGACUUGAGUGCAGAAGAGGGGAGUAGAAUUCCAUGUGUAGCGGUAAAAUGCGUAGAUAUAUGGAGGAACACCAGUGGCGAAGGCGGCUCUCUGGUCUGUAACUGACGCUGAGGCUCGAAAGCGUGGGGAGCAAACAGG
This 429-nucleotide ribosomal RNA is filed under the name Gemmatimonadota bacterium. RNAcentral's name for it is "Gemmatimonadetes bacterium partial 16S ribosomal RNA". It matches the Rfam family "Bacterial small subunit ribosomal RNA", at positions 355 to 776 of the family's 1533-position model. The record is from RNAcentral. Lineage: Bacteria; Pseudomonadati; Gemmatimonadota.